CUGAAUUCCUUUCUUCAAUUUAUUGGUGUACGUUCUCUCCAUCUAUUUCUCUUUCUUUUUUUCACUCUGUCUUUCCAUGUCAUUUCCCUUUUGCUAUCUUACAGCCCCAUCCUCCCUUUUGCCAUCAAUGAUAUCUUCGUGAAGCUUGCUCAAGAAUCACAAGAAGCCAACAAUCACUUCAAGGAAAAUUCAAACUGCUGUCAGACUUGUUCUUCUUGGUGAAUUGGCCAAACAUGCUGUUUCUGAGGGUACCAAGGCUGUGACCAAGUUUACUGGUUCUUAAAUUUGAUAGGAUCUAAUUUUAGGAACCAUUGGUAAUUUUAAUUAUCAGUUUCCAUCCCUAAAAAAAAAUAAAAUUUAUCAGUUUCUUUUAGAUCUUGAAGAUGUAAUGAAGUAAUGGAAUCUGGUUGUUCUUUUGUGUAUGAUAAAAUGGUGGAAUUUAAUGCAAUCAGACUUAAAAUGUUUUUAUUGUUCAAUUUGGUUGAUUUUGAGCAAGCUUCUGGAAGAACAUACGGCAAUAAAUUGAAGAAAGUAACUUAGUGGUAGUUAUAAGUAUUUUAUUUGUAUCAUUGUGAAG
This 577-nucleotide long non-coding RNA is filed under the name Medicago truncatula (barrel medic). RNAcentral describes it as "long non-coding RNA (MTRU_LNC005274)". Lineage: Eukaryota; Viridiplantae; Streptophyta; Magnoliopsida; Fabales; Fabaceae. The record is from RNAcentral.